Long non-coding RNA from Populus euphratica (Euphrates poplar), 417 nucleotides. RefSeq lists it as uncharacterized. Lineage: Eukaryota; Viridiplantae; Streptophyta; Magnoliopsida; Malpighiales; Salicaceae. The record is from RefSeq and is a predicted model, not a curated record. The transcript has 2 exons.
UCGACUUAAUUUAUCCCACAGAGAAGGAAAGCAAGAUAUUAUUUUUCAGGAGAGUACUCCAGUAGAGAAUCAAUAAGAAGAUCAUGGCAGGGGCAGUUAAAUGCAUAGACAUCUUGAUAGCCAUCAUCUUGCCCCCUCUUGGUGUCUUCCUCAGGUUUGGCUGCGGGGUGGAGUUUUGGAUCUGCUUGCUCCUCACCAUCUUAGGCUACAUCCCUGGAAUUAUUUAUGCUGUCUACGCCAUCACCAAGUGAAGAUCCUUGAUCUCACCAUCUUAAUAUCUCUGCUGCGAGCACCUGCACCGCACCCCCAAAAGCCGUUUCUUUCUCUCUGUUCCUGUAAAUUUAAAGGGCUGUAAAGUAUUUGCGAAAAUAAAGGAUAUAUAUAUGUAUACAUAUUAUAUCAUGACUGUUAAUUUUU